GGGUCAAAGUGGUGAACCCGUUAACUAAUGUAUAUAUUAGAAAAUUCUGUUCUCAUUCACCGUAUCCGCCGGCCACACGAGUGGUCUCGCGGACGUCUGCUCGUCGAUCUACCGGCGGCCGCGCUGAUGCCUCUCCCUGACUGGCGGCCGCGUAGAUGCCUCCUCCUACUUGUGUCUGUGCAGGCGCAUCCUCUCCAACUGACGAUGGUUCCGUGUUUUGGAGUUGGCAUCGCAUAGGGGCACGGUGUGCCCUCACCUACAUCGGCAGGCGGCGGCCCUUGGUCGGAGUUCUCCAGCUCUGUGUGCGGGUGCAGGUCGAAGCUCCGCGAUGCAGAUCUAGAUGCAGCUUCUUUCACUAGUCAUGGGAGGCGACUGAUGGGCUGUUGGCCAGUACAGGUAGUAAAUCGCAUCUCGGUGAGCCACGUCUGCAUCGCUGAUGUUGUUCGACAUUCUGCGUCUAUGCGACAACCACGAAGCAUUCAGAAUUGAGUGGAUCGGUGACCAAACUGAGAGAUAAAUGUUAGUACAUACUUCUAUAAUAAUGUAUGAACUGAUACUCCAGAAAAAGGUAUCUACAUAUACUCGUUUAUCAAAAAGUAUGUACCUAUACUUAGGAAAGGUAUCUGUAUAUACUUGUUUUUCAAAAAGUAUGUAGCUGUACUUAGCGUACUUCCGUGAUAUUACAUUAUGAGAGAUAAAUACUAAUAAUAUAAUCAUGUGUCAGAUAAGUAUAUAAACAUACUCCCCAAUCUGUAUACUUUCCUACGAACGAGUAUAUUCUCAUACAUAUAUAUAUAUAUAUACUCUGUUCUCCAAACGAGCAUCGGUUGAUCCCCGUUAAAUAUGUAUGGGUUCAUUCUCUCCUUGGAUAUACUCAUUAAUUAAAAAACAACUAUCUAAUCAUACCCUUUCUUAAAUAAUGCGUACGUACACAUAUAUACUCUAACAAGUAUGCAUUCGUACUGGCUGUUUUCACAUGGAUGCAUAUAUGACAGUAAAAAAAACUGUAGGAAAAAGAACAAGUAUACAAAAUCGGCGCCGGCGGCCAGUCACAAAUCAUGCAGUGUAUAGCGACAUCAACUCAACACAUGCAGACGUACGUGCUAUAUGCAUGUAUAUGGGCAUACUCACAACGCACGUAUGUUAUUAACGCCUCAAUUUUUUGAAUUCCUAUAAAUACGCCCGCAUAGUAGGUGUUAUAAUUGGAUUGUAUUCAAACCCGUUAGCUCCACUAACACGGGCCCGUUAGCUAGGUCCGCGCGGGGCUGCCUCCUUCGCGCGUGUAGACUCUAGGUGCGUGUAGAUACUCGUACGUGUAAAAAUCACUCACCCUAUAUAUAUAUAU
Molecule: long non-coding RNA, 1345 nt
Organism: Sorghum bicolor (sorghum)
Lineage: Eukaryota; Viridiplantae; Streptophyta; Magnoliopsida; Poales; Poaceae
Exons: 3
Source: RefSeq, a predicted model, not a curated record